This is an RNA transcript of Jaculus jaculus (lesser Egyptian jerboa), 6646 nucleotides long. It is a transcript of the gene named ubiquitin conjugating enzyme E2 F (putative), with no coding region annotated. The record is from RefSeq and is a predicted model, not a curated record. The transcript is spliced from 11 exons. NCBI's taxonomy places the organism in Eukaryota, Metazoa, Chordata, Mammalia, Rodentia, Dipodidae.
CACUUCCGGUCCCGCCGCCGGGAGCCGGUGCGGCUGUGAGGCCCGCGUCUCGCCGCCGCCGCCGGCCGGGCAUGGUGUUGGGCACCAUCCCGCCUCGCCUAACUCGGGGUGCCCAGAGGAAAGGCAGCAGGAAUGCUAACGCUGGCAAGCAAACUGAAGCGGGAGGACGGUCUCAAAGGGCCUCGGACAUCUGCCGCUGCGUCUGACUCCACUCGGAGGGUUUCUGUGAGAGACAAGUUGCUGGUGAAAGAAGUUGCAGAACUUGAAGCUAACUUACCUUGUACAUGCAAAGUGCAUUUUCCUGAUCCAAACAAGCUGCAUUGCUUUCAGCUAACUGUAAGCCCAGAUGAGGGUUACUACCAGGGUGGAAAAUUUCAGUUUGAAACUGAAGUUCCUGAUGCGUACAACAUGGUGCCUCCCAAGGUGAAAUGCUUGACCAAGAUCUGGCAUCCCAACAUCACAGAAACAGGGGAAAUAUGUCUAAGUUUACUAAGAGAGCAUUCGAUUGAUGGCACUGGCUGGGCUCCCACGAGAACAUUAAAGGAUGUUGUUUGGGGAUUAAACUCUUUAUUUACUGAUCUUCUGAAUUUUGAUGAUCCUCUGAACAUUGAAGCCGCAGAGCAUCAUUUGCGAGACAAGGAGGACUUCCGGAAUAAAGUGGAGGACUACAUCAAGCGCUAUGCCAGAUGAUAAGAGGAGGUGGUUGUAGGCCUGUGGACUGUGUGUCACAGCUUGUCUCUAAUGUGAAACAGCACGAGUUUGUAUUUUCAUUGUAUAGAGCAGACACAAAGAUGUUGGGUCAAGCAACUAUUGAAGAGAAAUACAAAGAAACUAUGAAAGCCACAGUACUCAGUCUCUCCAAGCGCAGCAGGAACCUGGCUCCUAGACAGCAGCUCGUUUUCAGGUCCAUAUGUGGCAAGAAUGUUUCGGAGCCCUUAAAAGCUAGUUCUGGAUGAUAAGAAACCAAAGUCAGGGAGUACUGCCUCACAUGCUGCCCAGAGAAAAGAAGCUGGGCCUAGACUGGCCGGGGUUGGCAGUUCUACAGUGGUCACAUGAGCAUGAGCCCUUGGUUGUAUACCAGCGCUGCAUCCUUGCUGUCCUGGGAGACAAGAGAUGCCUUGGGAGUCAGCUCAGUGUCUGAUACGAACAAGACUGUGCUGUGGCUGUUUUCUGCCUUGGCUGUGGUUCUGGGCCCUGGUGGGGUGACCCUGGUAGGCCUUGGAGAACCAGGAGUCAGCAGCAAAACAUGCCACGCUCUGUCAGGGAGGCACCCUUCAGAGGAAGAGCCCUGAAGAAAGACUAGUGCAUUUACUCCAGCAUUUAGACACUUGACCAGUGAAUCCAAAUGCAGAAUAAACGCCUGGUUCCAUUUCCUACCUGCCUAACAUCCCAGUAUACCUACCAGUCUCUUUACACCUUUGGAGUCCUGGCCAUCUUCCACAUACUGGGUGUAAUGUGCUGUUCCUACUUAUAGAAUCUAAUUCUUAGAUCAGUCUGGUGGAGAUCCACCAGGUGAGCAGUCUAGACCUUGAUUCUUUAUUUUGGCUCCAGGAAUUGUGCCAGUGAGACUUGAGAUGGCCCUUGCUGGCAAGCCACACAUCUAGGUGCACAGAGCAGGAAGGACGGGCCUGACAGAGUAAAUGGUGCCAUCCCAGUGGCUCGGGACUUGCCAGGGCACCACAGUGUUCCCACCUCCCAAGGACUAGGAGAGGUGCUGUGACUCUUGCUUUCCUUCUGAUGUUGUUGAGGUUACCAGGAGCUCACCCAGCCCAGCACUGAGGCAGUGUCUGCUCACUCUACUGCCCAGCAGAACCAGUACCAGAUGUGGGUCAUGGCCCAUCCCACGAUAGCUGCCCAGGGUGCCAGCAUUGACAGUAGGACUCUUCGUGAGAAUGCUUAAUGAAGAAACGAUGUCAGUGCCUACUGCUCAGGGCACGUGCUGAGUAGGUGGGAGGUAGUGUGCCAGGGCCACCACGAGCGCAGUGCUAACUCCGGAUGUGGCUCACCAGCACACGGUGCUACGCUGGGUGCUUGCUCCAAGACCUCCAGAUCUAGGCCUUAUGGCGUCUCCUUCCCACGCUCAGGCACAAGAGGAGUCUCUGAUCUCUCCCUAAACAUGACCCAUCCAGCAAAUCACCUCCUCUUUGUGGUCCCUAAGGAGCUGGUGCAGGAUACCACUCAGAGUCCAGGUCUUGGCUGUAUACCCCUGUGCCUUUUUCCUCCCAAGCUCUUGUUCCUCGUCUGUUUGAUUCUGCUUAUUGCUAUGUGGGCCAAGCUGGCCUUGGACUUGAUGAUCUUCCUGCUUCAGCCUUCCAGGUGCUAGGACUAUAGGCAGGUGCCAAUAUACCCACCUCAUCUGUGAGUUUCACUCACUGUUCAGGAGCAUGCAAACAGGUCCCAAGGAGUAGUCUUGCAUUAUGGGUAAUCUCACUUUUCUUCAUGCCCAAGCAUGGAUAGUCUUAGUGGCUAUUCAUAGUCUCUUCCAACUGCACAGUAGGCCAGGCAUGUACUUGCAGGAGAAAUCAUCUCUAUGGACAGACACUGUGGAGAAACUUUGAGUGAGGCUGUUCCCAGGGGCUAUUCUCACCUCACUACCACCCACCUCUAUGAAAGUAUGAUGAAAAGCUUUCAGAUAAGCCCAAAUAUGAUCAGUUGUUUAUUUUCUUCCCCUAAAAAAUCUGUGGCACGAUGCAUACAUUCUGAUUACCCUUUGUUUAGCAGAACCUCCCUGCUCCUUAACAGACUAUAAAAUUAACUCCCAUACUCCUUGGACAUUGGACUUUUUCUGAUAAAAAACCAAGCAGAGUUUAUUUCCAUGUAAAAAAUUCCAAAAACCUGAAUCACCAGUUACAGUGUGUAAGUUUGCACUUCUUUCCCAUUGUCCAUUUCAGGUUGCUUUCACCUUCAUCCAUUUACAGAUGCUUAGUCUUAGAAACUGAUCACUUCAACUUCAUUAUACAAAAUAAAAUGAACUUAGUCAAGUGCUGAAUGAUAGUGUGAAUAACAUGGGGCCAGUUCUUUUGCCAGCGAAGAACUUGAAAAGGUGAGGAUGCCCAUGACACCCCUCUCUCCUCCCUAAGUCUCUGCCUCUAGCAAAGAGCAUCAUGGGAGUCUGGCUCAGCAAUCCAUACUCCCUUCUGCAUUACUGAAAGGAUUUCUCAUUUUUAAAAAAUUCUUCCAAAAACCCCAUGAUGGAGGCAUUUGGGACUUUGCAUUUGUUGAGAAUGUGCAUUUGAUCAUGGUGAGUGGUAUAAAGAACUGAAUUACUUAAAAAGAGAGAGAAGCCGGGCGUGGUGGCGCACGCCUUUAAUCCCAGCACUUGGGAGGCAGAGGUAGGAGGAUCGCCGUGAGUUCAAGGCCACCCUGAGACUCCGUAAUGAAUUCCAGGUCAGCCUGGGCUAGAGUGAGACCCUACCUCGAAAAACUAAAAAAUUUAAAAAAAGAGAGAGAUUUGAGCUCACUAACUUUAAAUCCCGAAUUCACUGAGCCAGUAGGUUCCUGUUUUUGAGAUUAUGUUAGGUCUGGUUGGAAGCGGCAACGCUUGCCCUCUGGUGCUGAGGACUCUAUAAAUGCUUCCUGCACAGCCUGCAAGGAUAAACACUUGGUAGGCAGCCAGCAGUGCCAGUAGAGAAGAGCAGUGGUAGUUAACAUUUCACUCACUGCAUGAAGCAUUUUGACUCACAGUGGACAUCUGGGUAUGUUGAGUCCUUAGUCUACUAACCAGUGGGUGAGCCAGCAGGCCUGAUCUGUUUUGUUAUGUUUUUAUCCUCAGUCUUCCAACUUCACUAAACUUCCUGGCAAUUCAUGAUACCCAUGCAGAUUAAUAUCAAACCAGCCAUUUGUAUUAUCAAAGAUUCUCUUUAAAGAGAACAAUAUUCAAAUCGUAAGCCUGUGUCCUUCCUAACCAUGGGAGGUUGAGGGUUCAUAACUUGGAACAAUACUGGGUAAAGCCUUGUUCCCUCUUCUCAAGAGGCUUCAUGUUGUCGGAAAGAACAGAACCUGUACUCCUAGGAGAGCCUGGCAGGGAACGCAGGCACAGGUCCAGUGAUGGUCUCGCUGCCCUCAUUGUGGGCUUUCCAGACUGUUAUGGUGGUUUGUCAGUGGAGGCAGAGCCAGCUGUCAUUCAUGCCAAAACCAAGAGGGACAGUAGAGCCUGUCCACAACCUUUUCCUAUGGGAAAUGUUUCUAAAACACCCUUGGCCAGCCCAUGUCUUCCCUUGCCUCCAGAAUAAGCUCCCAUACCUGGCAUACAAAGCCCUUUGAGAUUAGGCCUCUCCACUCUUGCCAGCCUUGAAGAGAACAGCCACUGCGUGUUGGGUCCUAGGUUCAUGCCCUUAGAUGACAUCCACUUUACUGUGCCAAGACACUUAGCUUCUCUGUUGGGUCUCCAUCCCAGUUUCAACUCACAUAUUGCUGUUGUAGGCUCUGCUUGCUCUGACAGGCCCUUUGGAGAGCCUCUAUCUUUCCUAGCCAUCCAGAAGCCCCAAGGUGGGACUACACUUGCCCUCAUAUGUACUCCUGUCUCUCCUGGGGUAUAGGCCUCACCUUGGCCAUGCACUGUAACGGUCUGGCAGUUCAGUGUUGAGCACAUGUAAUCUGGUGGACACGCCAUACUACAGACAGCACCUGAGGAGCCGCCCAGAGGAUUAAGUGUGCUGGCCAGCCAGCAGAUCACCGAGGGGAUCUGCCAUCAUCCAGUGAGCCUUUGCCCAAAAAAAACGGUGUCCAGGAUAAAUGUGACUGGAAAUGAAAUGAGGACAGAAAUACCUCCAGGAGAUGUGGGUGACACCUCAGACUGGGAAUGUCAGGAGGCAGCAGGCCACGGUGAGAGCAGUGGUGAUGUAAAGCAGCUGGAACAGGACAUCAGCCAUCAUGACUGAACCACAGCAGUAAGCACAGGACCGACCAUGGAGACAGCUGAGGGAUUCUCUGAGAUGCAGAAGACAUAUGCCAGGGGAGGCAAGGUGAAGGUGAUCUGUUCCUGCAGCUUGCUGUGCAAACACCUGGCCAUCUACCUAUAACACUAUCAUUGAGCGAGACUCACUAAGGCCUGGCUGAAGGAGGACCUGGAUGGAAGCCCAUGGCUCACUUGACUGAGAGGGAACUGAGUCAAGAAGCGUGAGUCACAGGCAGGCUGCAUAGAGCUCAAACAGAGCGUUCCUUUGCCCUUCAGCUAAAGACUCCUGUGUCUGCCCCCAAGAACAGCUGAGGCUGAGAAAGACUGCCCAAAUGAGCUGAGAUUACACAGGCUCAGGGAAAAGUAAACCUGAAAGCACCUGAAAGUGAAUUCAACCUUUUCUACCUUAAGCACCAGUCUCAGACCCCUGGCUUUUGGAGACUGCCAUCCAGUGACGUGGGCACUGCUGGGGAGAGUUGGAGGGGAAGGAACCUACCACACUGAGUUUGCAUCAGGCAUAGUUCUUGUCCUUCCCGCAGGCCUGAGGCUGCCCUCCAGGGAGAGACACGGUCAGCCCAGCCAGGGCAAGCCCUUCUGUCUUGCCAGGCAGGGCUGACAGCAGGCCGCCUGCACUGUAGCAGCUCAGCUAAGCUUGUGCUGACCUGGAGCAUAGGACCGUCUCCCAAAUACACAAAAAUCUGGGACACUACUGAAAGUCACCACCCAACAAGUAGGACAUUAAAUGAUAAAGCUGACCAACACUAGUAAUGAGGCAAGUCAAAUGUUGGGAUUGCCUUGCAGAUUUUUAAGGCACUUAUCAUAAUCUGCAAAACUUGCUAUGAAUUCUGAAGCCAAUGAAAAUAGAAAAUCUGUACAAAUACACAGGAUUUCAGAUUCUGGAUGCAACACAGGUCAGGCAGUGUCUCUGAGUGAGGACUGCUCCUGGCUUCAGGGCACCCCAUCCCUUAGGGGAGAGCUGGGUCUCAGGAGGCCAGGGAAAGUAAAAUACACGGCAACAGAAACGUGAACAUUUCCCUGGAUAGGCUCAGUCGUAGAGAAAUGACAGAAAAUAGGGUCAUUACAUUUGAGGACAGCUGAAGUAGUCCAGGCAAGGGGGAAAACCCAUCACAUCUCAGGAUCUAUGAGAUAGCAACAAGAGACCCAGCGUCACAUGUCUGAGACCCAAGUGGAGAAGAGGAAGUAAAGAACCUUCCCCAGUUUGGUGAAAAACGCAAACAUACUGGUUCCUGCACAAGAUGAACUCAAGUCCACACCAAGAAACACUGGCAGUCAAUCUUCUCAGCACUGUAACAAGAGGGUGCCGGAGAGCCCGAGUGAUGUGCUGCCUGAAGGGAUCAGCGGCCUGAAUGACAACAGGUUUCUCCUCAGGAACUAUGGGGGCUAGAAGGCGGUGACACCAUAACCACGUGCUGGAGGAGAAACGUGGUCAUUGCGGCCCUGUGCCCAGCAGAACUUCCAGGAAAGAGAAGUCAAACUUCAUCUGUGUUCUGCCCUGACUGACUGAAGUUCAGAAGUUCUCCAGGCAGGAUAGGAAUCUUCAUUAUCAUACACGGUUUGAAAAUUCAACCAUUUGAUGCUCAGACAGUGAUACUAAAAUGGAAGGAUGAGCUGGGGAUACACCUCAAGGUGGAGUCCUAACUUGUCAUGUGUGAGGCUUUGGCUCAAUCUCUAGUCCUAUGCACCACCACCACCCCCAAAAAAAACAGGAAAUAAAGGAAAAUAAACCCA